GACGGAAGGUGCAAGCGUUGCUCGGAAUCACUGGGCGUAAAGGGUGCGUAGGCGGCUUGGUAAGUUGGGUGUGAAAGCCCCGGGCUCAGCCCGGGAAGGGCACUCGAAACUGCCGAGCUGGAGUGCCGGAGGGGAGAGUGGAAUUCCUGGUGUAGCGGUGAAAUGCGUAGAUAUCAGGAGGAACACCGAUGGCGAAGGCAGCUUCUUGGUCCAUAUCUGACGUUGAGACACGAAAGCGUGGGGAGCAAACAGG
This 253-nucleotide ribosomal RNA is filed under the name uncultured bacterium. RNAcentral's name for it is "partial 16S ribosomal RNA". It matches the Rfam family "Bacterial small subunit ribosomal RNA", at positions 524 to 776 of the family's 1533-position model. The record is from RNAcentral.